GACGAACGCUGGCGGCGUGCUUAACACAUGCAAGUCGAACGGAAAGGCCCUGCUUUUGUGGGGUGCUCGAGUGGCGAACGGGUGAGUAACACGUGAGUAAACUGCCCUUGACUUUGGGAUAACUUCAGGAAACUGGGGCUAAUACCGGAUAGGAGCUCCUGCACCAUGGUGGGGGUUGGAAAGUUUCGGCGGUUGGGGAUGGACUGGCGGGUUAUCAGCUUGUUGGUGGGGUAGUGGCUUACAAAGGCUUUGACGGGUAGCCGGCCUGAGAGGGUGACCGGCCACAUUGCGCCUGCGGGACGCCCCAGACGCCUAUGGGAGGCAGCAGUCGGGAAUAUGGCGCAACGGGCGGAAGUCUGAGGCAGCAACGCCGCGUUCGUGAUGACGGCCUUCGGGUUGUAAACCGCUUUCUCCUUUGACGAAGCGUGAGUGACGGUAAUGGGUAAAGAAGCACCGGCUAACUACGUG
Molecule: ribosomal RNA, 468 nt
Filed under: uncultured bacterium
Lineage: Bacteria
Description: partial 16S ribosomal RNA
Rfam family: Bacterial small subunit ribosomal RNA
Source: RNAcentral